GCCAGGCACGGUGGCUCAUGCCUGUAAUCCCAGCACUUUGGGAGGCCGAGGUGGGUGGAUCACCUGAGGUCAGGAGUUUGAGACCAGCCUGACCAACAUGGUGAAACCCCAUCUCUA
Molecule: unclassified non-coding RNA, 117 nt
Organism: Pongo abelii (Sumatran orangutan)
Lineage: Eukaryota; Metazoa; Chordata; Mammalia; Primates; Hominidae
Rfam family: Metazoan signal recognition particle RNA
About the family: The signal recognition particle (SRP) is a universally conserved ribonucleoprotein. It is involved in the co-translational targeting of proteins to membranes.
Source: Ensembl